GUACUUGCUUCAGCAGCACAUAUACUAAAGCUGGAACAAUACAGAGAUGAGCAUGGCUCCUGCGCAAGAAUGACAGGUAAAUUUGUGAGGAUUCCAUAUUUUUA
Small nuclear RNA from Camelus dromedarius (Arabian camel), 104 nucleotides. The record is from Ensembl. Lineage: Eukaryota; Metazoa; Chordata; Mammalia; Artiodactyla; Camelidae.